AUGAGGUACUCAAUCGAGCCGGGUUUAAAUUUGGAUGAAGUAGCAGAACAGAAUAGACCAGUACUUGACGAAGAUGAUGAAGAUGCUUUCAUCGUCGAGGAGAUUGGGGAUUCUUCGGAUGAACGACAAGUAAAGCCAAUCAGGACAUUGGAAUCCAGGAAGGGGAUGGUGUUCGAUAGUGAGGAUGAUGCUGUCAGGUUCUACAAAGGUUAUGCCAAAAAGAAGGGCUUUGGUGUGAUGAGAAGGACGACUAGAUACGGAGAAGAUAACAUGGUUACUUAUUUUACUCUCGCUUGUAGCAGACAAGGAAAGACUCAAUGCUCAGAAAAGAACUCAUUUAUGCCUAAUCCGUCGACAAGGAUGCAAUGCCCAGCUAAGAGUAAUUUCUCCCGCCGUGAGGAGAAGUUUUGUAUUACGUCUCUUACGCUUGACCACAAUCAUCCUAUAAGUCCAAGCAAAUCCAGAUUUUUUAGAUGCCACAAGAAGUUGGACUUGCAUUCAAAGAGAAGGCUAGAAUUGAAUGAUCAAGCAGGAAUCCGUAUGAACAAGAAUUUUGGUUCUCUUGUUAUGGAAGCUGGCGGAUAUGGAAAUCUUGAGUUUGGUGAAAAGGAAUGUAGGAAUGCAAGAGAAAAGAAGGCUGCAACUUGGUGCUGGAGAUGCACAUGUUGUUUAUCAAUAUUUUCUUCGUAUGCAAUCAAAAGAUCCAGACUUUUUCCAUGUUAUGGAUGUGGCUGA
Molecule: ribosomal RNA, 735 nt
Filed under: Triticum aestivum (bread wheat)
Lineage: Eukaryota; Viridiplantae; Streptophyta; Magnoliopsida; Poales; Poaceae
Description: partial small subunit ribosomal RNA
Source: RNAcentral